This 62-nucleotide transfer RNA is filed under the name Orestia punctipennis. RNAcentral's name for it is "tRNA-Ser". The record is from RNAcentral. Lineage: Eukaryota; Metazoa; Arthropoda; Insecta; Coleoptera; Chrysomelidae.
GAAAUAAUAACCAAAAAAAGUUUCUAACUUUAUUUUAAAGCGUUAAAUACGUUUUUAUUUCA